AGCAGCCGCGGUAAUUCCAGCUCCAAUAGCGUAUAUUAAAGUUGUUGCAGUUAAAAAGCUCGUAGUUGAAUUUCGGGGUUAGUAGGUUGGUCAUGCCUCUGGUAUGUACUGGUCUCACUGAUUCCUCCUUCCUGAUGAACCUUAAUGCCAUUUAUUUGGUGUUUUGGGGAAUUUGGACUGUUACUUUGAAAAAAUUAGAGUGUUUAAAGCAAGCUAACGCUUGAAUACAUUAGCAUGGAAUAAUGAAAUAGGACGUUCGAUCCUAUUUUGUUGGUUUCUAGGAUUGACGUAAUGAUUAAUAGGGAUAGUUGGGGGCAUUAGUAUUCAAUUGUCAGAGGUGAAAUUCUUGGAUUUAUUGAAGACUAACUACUGCGAAAGCAUUUGCCAAGGAUGUUUUCAUUAAUCAAGAACGAAAGUUAGGGGAUCGAAGACGAUCAGAUACCGUCGUAGUCUUAACCAUAAACUAUGCCGACUAGGGAUCGGAUGAUGUUAAUUUUUAAUGACUCAUUCGGCGCCU
RNAcentral lists this ribosomal RNA (517 nucleotides) under uncultured Glomus. Its description in RNAcentral is "SSU rRNA". It matches the Rfam family "Eukaryotic small subunit ribosomal RNA", at positions 569 to 1088 of the family's 1831-position model. The record is from RNAcentral. Lineage: Eukaryota; Fungi; Glomeromycota; Glomeromycetes; Glomerales; Glomeraceae.